Molecule: ribosomal RNA, 794 nt
Filed under: uncultured Bacillota bacterium
Lineage: Bacteria; Bacillati; Bacillota
Description: bacterial SSU rRNA
Rfam family: Bacterial small subunit ribosomal RNA
Source: RNAcentral
AGGAGAGUUUGAUCCUGGCUCAGGAUGAACGCUGGCGGCGUGCCUAACACAUGCAAGUCGAGCGAGAAAAGACAGAACAGAGAUUCGUCAAAGGGAAGUCUUGGACAGCGGCGGACGGGUGAGUAACGCGUAGGUAACCUGCCUUCGGCUGUGGGAUAGCCUAGGGAAACCUGGAUUAAUACCACAUAAUGCGUUGAGAUCACAUGGUCUUGACGCCAAAGAUUCAUCGGCCGAAGAUGGACCUGCGUCUGAUUAGAUAGUUGGUGAGGUAACGGCCCACCAAGUCAACGAUCAGUAGCCGACCUGAGAGGGUAAUCGGCCACAUUGGAACUGAGACACGGUCCAAACUCCUACGGGAGGCAGCAGUGGGGAAUAUUGCACAAUGGGCGCAAGCCUGAUGCAGCAACGCCGCGUGAGCGAAGAAGGUCUUCGGAUUGUAAAGCUCUGUCCUUGGGGACGAAGAAGUGACGGUACCCAAGGAGGAAGCCCCGGCUAACUACGUGCCAGCAGCCGCGGUAAUACGUAGGGGGCGAGCGUUAUCCGGAAUUAUUGGGCGUAAAGAGUACGUAGGUGGUUUUGUAAGCGCAAGGUGAAAGACCGCAGCUUAACUGCGGUGAGCCUUGUGAACUGCAAGACUUGAGUGCAGGAGGGGAAAGUGGAAUUCCUAGUGUAGCGGUGAAAUGCGUAGAUAUUAGGAGGAACACCGGUGGCGAAGGCGACUUUCUGGACUGUAACUGACACUGAGGUACGAAAGCGUGGGGAGCAAACAGGAUUAGAUACCCUGGUAGUCCCCU